UGAGGAAUAUUGGGCAAUGCCCGAAAGGGUGACCCAGCAACGCCGCGUGGAGGAUGAAGGUCGUAAGAUUGUAAACUCCUGUUAGAGGGGAAGAAUAACUAAGUUUGGAGCUUAGUAUGACUGUACCCUCAGAGAAAGCCCCGGCUAACUACGUGCCAGCAGCCGCGGUAAUACGUAGGGGGCAAGCGUUGUCCGGAUUUACUGGGUGUAAAGGGCGCGCAGGCGGAAUGGAAAGUCAGUGGUGAAAUCCUACAGCUUAACUGUAGAACUGCCUUUGAUACUUUCAUUCUUGAGUUCGGGAGAGAGAGACGGAAUUCCAGGUGUAGUGGUGAAAUACGUAGAUAUCUGGAAGAACACCAGUUGCGAAGGCGGUCUCUUGGUCCGAUACUGACGCUGAGGCGCGAAAGCGUGGGGAGCAAACAGGAUUAGAUACCCUUGUAGUCCCUGAGCGGGCUGGCAAGGCGCAU
This 467-nucleotide ribosomal RNA is filed under the name uncultured bacterium. RNAcentral describes it as "bacterial SSU rRNA". It matches the Rfam family "Bacterial small subunit ribosomal RNA", at positions 355 to 825 of the family's 1533-position model. The record is from RNAcentral.